GAUGAAGAACGUAGCGAAAUGCGAUACUUGGUGUGAAUUGCAGAAUCCCGUGAACCAUCGAGUCUUUGAACGCAAGUUGCGCCCGAAGCCAUUAGUCCGAGGGCACGCCUGCCUGGGCGUCACACGUCGUUGCCCCCCCAUCUACUCCUUCGGGAUUGCGGGGGGCGGAUGAUGGCCUCCCGUGCGCCUCGCCGCGCGGUUGGCAUAAAUGCCAAGUCCUCGGCGACGCACGCCACGACAAUCGGUGGUUGCGAAACCUCGGUUGCCCGUCGUGUGCGGUCGUCGCGCAUCGAGGGCUCGAAAAAAUUGCCGGGUUCCGGCUCGGCUUUCAACGCGACCCCAGGUCAGGCGGGGUUACCCGCUGAAUUUAAGCAUAUCAAUAAGCGGAGGA
This 391-nucleotide unclassified non-coding RNA is filed under the name soil metagenome. RNAcentral describes it as "partial contains 5.8S ribosomal RNA, internal transcribed spacer 2, and large subunit ribosomal RNA". The stretch from base 1 to 122 matches the Rfam family "5.8S ribosomal RNA", at positions 35 to 154 of the family's 154-position model. The record is from RNAcentral.